CCCCUCUGAGGGUUGCACCCGGUGAGUAUCCAGUACUCUACGGCUCGGCUACGGGAGGGAGAGUCAAGCAGAGACCUACCCAUUCCAUUCCUAGCUCGCGCAGUGGCUAGCGAGUGGAAGACAAUCUGCUACAAGG
Small nucleolar RNA from Ornithorhynchus anatinus (platypus), 136 nucleotides. The record is from RefSeq and is a predicted model, not a curated record. NCBI's taxonomy places the organism in Eukaryota, Metazoa, Chordata, Mammalia, Monotremata, Ornithorhynchidae.